RNAcentral lists this ribosomal RNA (254 nucleotides) under uncultured bacterium. Its description in RNAcentral is "partial 16S ribosomal RNA". It matches the Rfam family "Bacterial small subunit ribosomal RNA", at positions 524 to 776 of the family's 1533-position model. The record is from RNAcentral.
UACGUAGGGAGCAAGCGUUGUUCGGAUUUACUGGGCGUAAAGGGCGCGUAGGCGGCAAAUUAAGUCAGCUGUGAAAUCUCCGAGCUUAACUCGGAACGGUCAGCUGAUACUGAUCUGCUAGGGUGCGGAAGGGGCAAUCGGAAUUCUUGGUGUAGCGGUGAAAUGCGUAGAUAUCAAGAGGAACACCUGAGGUGAAGACGGGUUGCUGGGCCGACACUGACGCUGAGUGCGCGAAAGCCAGGGGAGCAAACGGG